GGGGCUGUAGCGCAGCUGGUAGCGCACUUGCAUGGCAUGCAAGGGGUCAGGGGUUCGACUCCCCUCAGCUCCAC
Molecule: transfer RNA, 74 nt
Filed under: uncultured Actinomycetes bacterium
Lineage: Bacteria; Bacillati; Actinomycetota; Actinomycetes
Also listed under: 1 other name
Description: tRNA-Ala
Rfam family: tRNA
About the family: Transfer RNA (tRNA) molecules are approximately 80 nucleotides in length. Their secondary structure includes four short double-helical elements and three loops (D, anti-codon, and T loops).
Source: RNAcentral